Long non-coding RNA from Daphnia magna, 815 nucleotides. RefSeq lists it as uncharacterized. The record is from RefSeq and is a predicted model, not a curated record. Lineage: Eukaryota; Metazoa; Arthropoda; Branchiopoda; Diplostraca; Daphniidae. The transcript is spliced from 2 exons.
UUUGUUCUUUGAAUUUUUUUUGUUGUCUGUCCCCCUCCUCACCUCAGUUUCUUUAACCACCGGCGGCCAUGUGAUUUACCUGUGAGCUACCAUUUUAGUAACAGACACACACACACAUACACACGAAAAAGAAGAAGACACGCAUCGUCUUUGUCGCCGUGCCCUGCCGAAACGAUUAAAGUCCAAUCGGAGCACUAACCGAAGAACCACAUACAGCUUCAACUCUAUAGUCAUCAUGAAAGCUACAUAUUUUCAUACUUGUGUCUAUACCGUCUAGUGUUUGUGUGUGUGUGUGUAUGUGUUAGUUAUUAUUCCGUCUCGGUGGAAGACGAGAGAGCUCACAGAGUCACGCAUCUAAUUAAAUCCAAUCAUCGAUAUUAAAAUACCAUUAGAGCAACGGCAGCGUGUUCCUCUCUCGUCUCCUAAAAAUACGUUUCAAUUUCUGUUGUUGUUUAGUUAACCUGCCUGCCUUUCGACUGGAAAACAUAGGGGGGGAGGAGACUUGUCAUCAAGGUGCGAUGCUGCUGUCCCGUAUUUUUGCUGCGACUGCACAUCCUGCACAAGUCCAUCAUCGUCACGAACGCAUCAUAUCCUCUGAAUCUUGGGAAAAACUCGCAUCCGCAUCAUCUUGCUCGUAUGCAUAAAUACAGACGCACAACAACAACAAGAAAAAAAAAAAUAAAUAAAAAAUACAAAUGGAAAAAUAAGGAUGAGAGAGAGAGACGUGAUCGGAUGACCACGCACGAUGGCCCGCGAACAAACUAUUGUUGUGUACCCGAGAAAAAAAUAAAAAUACAUGAGCCAGCGUAGACGUA